This 227-nucleotide long non-coding RNA is filed under the name Lathyrus oleraceus (garden pea). RNAcentral describes it as "Pisum sativum (pea) long non-coding RNA (PSAT_LNC029778)". Lineage: Eukaryota; Viridiplantae; Streptophyta; Magnoliopsida; Fabales; Fabaceae. The record is from RNAcentral.
UGUAGAAAAAAAGGAUUUACAACUACCAGUUACUGGGCAGAAGACCAAAGGUGAGAAUAUCCAUCAACGGUUAGGAUGAACAUAUCAAGGAUAAACUCAACAGGGAAGAAGAUCAGUCACCGGUUAAGAUGAACAUAUCAAGAAUAAACUUGCCUGGGAUUGUCAAGGAGGAUACGUGUCAUUGGUUAGGAUGAUCAUAUCAAGGAUAAACCAACUGAACAAAAAGU